Molecule: non-coding RNA, 116 nt
Organism: Podarcis lilfordi (Lilford's wall lizard)
Lineage: Eukaryota; Metazoa; Chordata; Lepidosauria; Squamata; Lacertidae
Source: the annotation of a GenBank genome assembly
GUCCCUUCCAACUAUACAAUUUCUAUGAUUCCUGUAUUACCCUUUCUACUGAGAUCUAUGGGAAUUCUUCAUCUUAUUUUACCCUAGAAUCAUAGAACUGUAGAGUUGGAAGGGAC